GAUGAACGCUGACAGAAUGCUUAACACAUGCAAGUCAACUUGAACUUCGGUUUGGGUGGCGGACGGGUGAGUAACGCGUAAAGAACUUGCCUCACAGAUAGGGACAACAUUUGGAAACGAAUGCUAAUACCUGAUAUUAUGAUUUUAGGGCAUCCUAGAAUUAUGAAAGCUAUAUGCGCUGUGAGAGAGCUUUGCGUCCCAUUAGCUAGUUGGAGAGGUAACGGCUCACCAAGGCGAUGAUGGGUAGCCGGCCUGAGAGGGUGAUCGGCCACAAGGGGACUGAGACACGGCCCUUACUCCUACGGGAGGCAGCAGUGGGGAAUAUUGGACAAUGGACCAAGAGUCUGAUCCAGCAAUUCUGUGUGCACGAUGAAGUUUUUCGGAAUGUAAAGUGCUUUCAGUUGGGAAGAAAAAAAUGACGGUACCAACAGAAGAAGUGACGGCUAAAUACGUGCCAGCAGCCGCGGUAAUACGUAUGUCACAAGCGUUAUCCGGAUUUAUUGGGCGUAAAGCGCGUCUAGGUGGUUAUAUAAGUCUGAUGUGAAAACGCAGGGCUCACUCUGUAUUGCGUUAGAAACUGUGUAACUAGAGAACUGGAGAGGUAAGCGGAACUACAAGUGUAGAGGUGAAUUCGAGUAUAUUAGUAGAAAGCCGCUCGGGAAGCACAUAAUGUAAAGAUAGUGGCGCUUAGGCGGCACCAAGGGUCUCAACCGGAUAAAACAAUGGAAACACAGAGGGAAUCUAGACUAGAUUGAGCAAGCGGGGGGCGGACAUCAGGGGGGGUUUUUGCUUUCUUUUUAUUUAUAAUAUUAAAAGGAGUCCUUGGGGGGGGACUGCGAGUUGCGAUGCAGCGUUGCGGGCUA
This 863-nucleotide ribosomal RNA is filed under the name uncultured Streptococcus sp. RNAcentral describes it as "bacterial SSU rRNA". The stretch from base 1 to 715 matches the Rfam family "Bacterial small subunit ribosomal RNA". Lineage: Bacteria; Bacillati; Bacillota; Bacilli; Lactobacillales; Streptococcaceae. The record is from RNAcentral.